Molecule: microRNA, 17 nt
Filed under: Corchorus olitorius
Lineage: Eukaryota; Viridiplantae; Streptophyta; Magnoliopsida; Malvales; Malvaceae
Description: hsa-miR-31
Source: RNAcentral
CAUAGUAUUGUUUAAUC